AGAGAGAGACAUGCGCGCAUAUCAAUAAGCGGAGGAAAAGAAACUAACAAGGAUUCCCCUAGUAACGGCGAGUGAAGCGGGAAGAGCUCAAAUUUGAAAUCUUAAAGGGUUUCCCUUUACGAAUUGUAGUUUAAAGAAGUGUGUUCUGUUGAGGUUUUGGUAAAAGUUCUUUGGAAUAGGACAUCAUAGAGGGUGAGAAUCCCGUAUUUGACCUUUACUUUCAACUUUGUGAUACACUUUCAAAGAGUCGGAUUGUUUGGGAAUGCAGUCCAAAAUGGGUGGUAAAUUUCAUCUAAAGCUAAAUAUUGGCGGAGAGACCGAUAGCGAACAAGUACCGUGAGGGAAAGAUGAAAAGAACUUUGAAAAGAGAGUUAAACAGUACGUGAAAUUGUCAAAAGGGAAGCGUUUGACACCAGUGUUGUUUUUCUGAAAAUCAAUUAAAGAACUGUUUAUGCUAAGCUGUUUAGACUUUAUCAGCUAAUCUGUUUAGUUUUGAGCUUUUCUUUAAUGCACUUUUCAGUUAACAAGUCAACAUCAAUUUCUUUUGCUGUAAAAAAGCUUGAGGAAGGUGGCUUGAGACUCGUCUUAAGUGUUUAUAGCCUCUUGCCUAUGCAGUCGGAGAGAUUGAGGUCUGCAGCGUAGAUCCUUCGGGGCUAAAUGCAUUUGUGCUAAGUUAUAAGCAUUUUAUAGACAACUUGUUGACUAUGAUUUGUCUUGUAGCUUACUCGCUUAUGUUAUUUUACCUACGCUUAGGAUGUUGACGCAUGAGAUAUACGC
RNAcentral lists this ribosomal RNA (777 nucleotides) under uncultured Neocallimastigales. Its description in RNAcentral is "partial large subunit ribosomal RNA". It matches the Rfam family "Eukaryotic large subunit ribosomal RNA", at positions 23 to 647 of the family's 3401-position model. The record is from RNAcentral. Lineage: Eukaryota; Fungi; Neocallimastigomycota; Neocallimastigomycetes; Neocallimastigales.